GACGAACGCUGGCGGCGUGCUUAACACAUGCAAGUCGAGCGGUAAGGCCCUUUCGGGGGUACACGAGCGGCGAACGGGUGAGUAACACGUGGGUGACCUGCCCUCAGCUCUGGGAUAAGCCUGGGAAACCGGGUCUAAUACUGGAUAUGACUCCAUGACGCAUGUUGUGGGGUGGAAAGCCUUGUGCGGCUGAGGAUGGGCCCGCGGCCUAUCAGCUUGUUGGUGGGGUGANGGCCCACCAAGGCGACGAUGGGUAGCCGGCCGAGAGGGUGUCCGGCCACACUGGGACUGAGAUACGGCCCAGACUCCUACGGGAGGCAGCAGUGAGGAAUAUU
Molecule: ribosomal RNA, 335 nt
Filed under: uncultured bacterium
Lineage: Bacteria
Description: bacterial SSU rRNA
Rfam family: Bacterial small subunit ribosomal RNA
Source: RNAcentral